RNAcentral lists this ribosomal RNA (432 nucleotides) under uncultured bacterium. RNAcentral's name for it is "partial 16S ribosomal RNA". It matches the Rfam family "Bacterial small subunit ribosomal RNA", at positions 29 to 507 of the family's 1533-position model. The record is from RNAcentral.
ACGCACGCUGGCGGCAUGCCUAACACAUGCAAGUCGCACGAGACCUUUGGGUCUAGUGGCGCACGGGUGCGUAACGCGUGGGAAUCUGCCCUUGGGUUCGGAAUAACAGUGAGAAAUUGCUGCUAAUACCGGAUGAUGUCUUCGGACCAAAGAUUUAUCGCCCAGGGAUGAGCCCGCGUAGGAUUAGCUAGUUGGUGGGGUAAUGGCCUACCAAGGCGACGAUCCUUAGCUGGUCUGAGAGGAUGAUCAGCCACACUGGGACUGAGACACGGCCCAGACUCCUACGGGAGGCAGCAGUGGGGAAUAUUGGACAAUGGGCGCAAGCCUGAUCCAGCAAUGCCGCGUGAGUGAUGAAGGCCUUAGGGUUGUAAAGCUCUUUUACCAGGGAUGAUAAUGACAGUACCUGGAGAAUAAGCUCCGGCUAACUCCGUG